Molecule: ribosomal RNA, 500 nt
Filed under: uncultured Glomus
Lineage: Eukaryota; Fungi; Glomeromycota; Glomeromycetes; Glomerales; Glomeraceae
Description: SSU rRNA
Rfam family: Eukaryotic small subunit ribosomal RNA
Source: RNAcentral
CCAAUAGCGUAUAUUAAAGUUGUUGCAGUUAAAAAGCUCGUAGUUGAAUUUCGGGGUUAGUAGGUUGGUCAUGCCUCUGGUAUGUACUGGUCUCACUGAUUCCUCCUUCCUUAUGAACCGUAAUGCCAUUAAUUUGGUGUUGCGGGGAAUUUGGACUGUUACUUUGAAAAAAUUAGAGUGUUUAAAGCAAGCUAACGCUUGAAUACAUUAGCAUGGAAUAAUGAAAUAGGACGUUCGAUCUUAUUUUGUUGGUUUCUAGGAUUGACGUAAUGAUUAAUAGGGAUAGUUGGGGGCAUUAGUAUUCAAUUGUCAGAGGUGAAAUUCUUGGAUUUAUUGAAGACUAACUACUGCGAAAGCAUUUGCCAAGGAUGUUUUCAUUAAUCAAGAACGAAAGUUAGGGGAUCGAAGACGAUCAGAUACCGUCGUAGUCUUAACCAUAAACUAUGCCGACUAGGGAUCGGAUGAUGUUAAUUUUUUAAUGACUCAUUCGGCGCCUUACA